Molecule: small nucleolar RNA, 220 nt
Organism: Jaculus jaculus (lesser Egyptian jerboa)
Lineage: Eukaryota; Metazoa; Chordata; Mammalia; Rodentia; Dipodidae
Gene: U3
Rfam family: Small nucleolar RNA U3
About the family: Small nucleolar RNAs (snoRNAs) are involved in the processing and modification of rRNA in the nucleolus. There are two main classes of snoRNAs: the box C/D class, and the box H/ACA class.
Source: Ensembl
AAGUCACCUCUCCAGCCCUCAGGGAUCAUUUCUAUAGUUCGUCACUUGAAAGGUUUCUCUGACUGUGUAGAGUACUGGAAAUCAUGGGCCGGAGGCUGAGCGUUCUCUCCUGAGUGUGGAGCCUGCUCUUGGCGUUGCUUUGCUGCAACUGCUUCUUGUCCCUGAUGACUGUUCCUGCUUUCCUGUGGGGAGCUGGGGGAGAGGGUGCAGUCUGGGUGGC